RNAcentral lists this ribosomal RNA (253 nucleotides) under uncultured bacterium. RNAcentral describes it as "partial 16S ribosomal RNA". It matches the Rfam family "Bacterial small subunit ribosomal RNA", at positions 524 to 776 of the family's 1533-position model. The record is from RNAcentral.
UACGUAGGUGGCGAGCGUUAUCCGGAAUUACUGGGCGUAAAGCGCACGCAGGCGGUUUCUUAAGUUUGACGUGAAAACUCCUGGCUUAACUGGGAGAGGUCGUUGAAGACUGGGGAACUUGAGGCAAUGAGAGGGAUGUAGAAUUCACGGUGUAGUGGUGGAAUGCGUAGAUAUCGUGAGGAAUACCAGUGGCGAAAGCGACAACCUGGCAUUAGCCUGACGCUCAUGUGCGAAAGCGUGGGGAGCGAACGGG